UGAGGAAUUUUGCACAAUGGAGGAAACUCUGAUGCAGCGACGCCGCGUGAAGGAUGAAGGGGCUUUGCCCUGUAAACUUCUGUCGGAUGGGAAAAAAAGUUCGGUCGCCGGACUGGGAUUGUACCAUCAAAGGAAGGGUCGGCUAACUACGUGCCAGCAGCCGCGGUAAUACGUAGGACCCAAGCGUUGUCCGGAUUUACUGGGUAUAAAGGGUGCGCAGGCGGAUCUGUGCGUCGAAGGUUAAAGACCAGAGCUCAACUCUGGGAGUGCCCUCGAUACGGCAGGUCUUGAGUACGAGAGAGGAUAGUAGAAUUCCUGGUGUAGCGGUGAAAUGCGUAGAUAUCAGGAGGAAUACCAGUGGCGAAGGCGGCUAUCUGGCUCGUAACUGACGCUCAGGCAC
This 400-nucleotide ribosomal RNA is filed under the name uncultured bacterium. Its description in RNAcentral is "bacterial SSU rRNA". It matches the Rfam family "Bacterial small subunit ribosomal RNA", at positions 355 to 754 of the family's 1533-position model. The record is from RNAcentral.